This 253-nucleotide ribosomal RNA is filed under the name uncultured bacterium. Its description in RNAcentral is "partial 16S ribosomal RNA". It matches the Rfam family "Bacterial small subunit ribosomal RNA", at positions 524 to 776 of the family's 1533-position model. The record is from RNAcentral.
UACGAAGGGUGCAAGCGUUGCUCGGAAUUAUUGGGCGUAAAGGGUGAGUAGGUGGUCUGAUUUGUCUGUGGUGAAAUCCUUGGGCUCAACCUAAGAAGUGCCUCGGAAACGGUCGGACUAGAGUGCUGGAGAGGGUCGCAGAAUUCCCGGUGUAGCGGUGAAAUGCGUAGAGAUCGGGAGGAAUACCUGUGGCGAAAGCGGCGACCUGGACAGUAACUGACACUCAAUCACGAAAGCGUGGGGAGCAAACAGG